Molecule: long non-coding RNA, 345 nt
Organism: Ahaetulla prasina
Lineage: Eukaryota; Metazoa; Chordata; Lepidosauria; Squamata; Colubridae
Exons: 5
Source: RefSeq, a predicted model, not a curated record
AGAGUACACAACGGCAAGCAUAAGCCUAGAGAUUGCAAGCACAUUUAAAAAAGAAAAAAACCUCAUUCCUUCGCGGAUUUCCAAGGAGAAAGAGGCCUCCCCUGCCAAAUAGAUGAGACCGCUGAUAGCUUAAUUAGAUGACCAGAGAUACUGAGAGCGGAUGCCAGCAUCAGGUCUAACAGGGAUUAUGGUGUCCACAGGAAGAUGGAAAGAUGUAGACCUGGGCCAGUGGGUCCCCAAUGUUUUCUGCUUCCUGUGGGGGCCACUAAUACAGAAGCAAACCAGACAGUUAUGGAGGUGCAGAUGACAGACUCAAUAAUUCCUCUGGAGAACUCAAACUUCGAA